This 504-nucleotide ribosomal RNA is filed under the name Streptomyces fimbriatus. RNAcentral describes it as "bacterial SSU rRNA". It matches the Rfam family "Bacterial small subunit ribosomal RNA", at positions 1 to 524 of the family's 1533-position model. The record is from RNAcentral. Lineage: Bacteria; Bacillati; Actinomycetota; Actinomycetes; Kitasatosporales; Streptomycetaceae.
AAAACAAAGAGUUUGAUCGUGGCUCAGGACGAACGCUGGCGGCGUGCUUAACACAUGCAAGUCGAACGAUGAACCACUUCGGUGGGGAUUAGUGGCGAACGGGUGAGUAACACGUGGGCAAUCUGCCCUUCACUCUGGGACAAGCCCUGGAAACGGGGUCUAAUACCGGAUAACACUUCCACUCUCCUGGGUGGAGGUUAAAAGCUCCGGCGGUGAAGGAUGAGCCCGCGGCCUAUCAGCUUGUUGGUGAGGUAAUGGCUCACCAAGGCGACGACGGGUAGCCGGCCUGAGAGGGCGACCGGCCACACUGGGGGACUGAGACACGGGCCCAGACUCCUACGGGAGGCAGCAGUGGGGAAUAUUGGACAAUGGGCGCAAGCCUGAUCCAGCAAUGCCGCGUGAGUGAUGAAGGCCUUAGGGUUGUAAAGCUCUUUUACCAGGGAUGAUAAUGACAGUACCUGGAGAAUAAGCUCCGGCUAACUCCGUGCCAGCCGCCGCCGUAAC